UAAGUUCCUUGGAACAGGACGUCAUAGAGGGUGAUAACCCCGUAGUCGUCUACGUCACGGACCCAACGAGCAUUUUCGAAGAGUCGGGUUGUUUGGGAUUGCAGCCCUAAAUGGGAGAUAAACUUCUUCUAAAGCUAAAUAUUUAUGGGAAACCGAUAGCGAACAAGUACUGCGAAGGAAAGGUGAAAAGAACUUUGAAAAGAGGGUUAAAAGACUUGAAAUCGUUGAGAAGAAAGUGGUAGAAGAGUAAUCAUUUGUGUACGAUAUUCGGGUUGCUUGGAGGAUUGGUAAGGCUUU
RNAcentral lists this ribosomal RNA (297 nucleotides) under Chaetoceros affinis. RNAcentral describes it as "partial Eukaryotic large subunit ribosomal RNA". It matches the Rfam family "Eukaryotic large subunit ribosomal RNA", at positions 182 to 480 of the family's 3401-position model. Lineage: Eukaryota; Bacillariophyta; Thalassiosirophyceae; Chaetocerotales; Chaetocerotaceae. The record is from RNAcentral.